GCAGCUGUGUGGUGCGUGUGUUUGUGUGUGUGUGUGUGUGUUUAAAGAGAUGAAGAAAGACUUUGGGCUUUAGGUUUAAUUAGGUUUGGGCUCAAGUCUUGGGCCUGAAUAAUUAGGAGUUGGGCCGAUUUUAUUUAAAGUCUGGACUGCUUCAUUUAAUUAAUCUUGGGCCCUGAUUUAAAUUGAAACAUUGGGCUUAUGUUUUUAAAGAAAUGAACUACCUUAUUAUUUAACUGGACUGCAGUUCAAAAAAAAAAAAAGGGGAUACUUAUUAAUUAUUUUUUUCAAAAGAUGAUUUACAUAAUAAUAUUAUAUUAUUAUGUGCAUAUUUUAAGUAGUUGCUUAUUAUAUGUUUUAAGCAUGACAUGAAAUUUUCAUUUGCAUAAUGCAUAAAAGUAUUUAUGAUUUAACGAAAAUCGAGUAGGGUUAUUGUUGGUGUCCUUGACUCAAGAAAGUUAGUUUUCAAUAUUUAUUAUUAAAAUUUUGAGAACUCGGCGUGAUGAAUCAAAGAAUGUCUAGCACUUCCACUAUGACUUAAGAUUAGAUUGAGGAGACCUAUUAAGAAUAGAAUUUCUUGUAGGCUUUAUGGACCAAGGGGAUUAGCGCUGCUUUCCCGAGACGAGUUUGUGUGAUUUUGAAUCUUCAGGCUUUGCCUAACCAGGUUGGCUGGCUGGUGCUGACGGGACGGAGCUGAGGCUAGGGUUAAUUUCCUAUGUUAGACUUCCGCUGUAGCAAUUACUCAUAUCUGUCUUUUGUUUUUCCCAACUUAAGAUCUUCAUGUUAAAUUUCAAAUGAUAUACCUGACCGAGCUUAGACUCUUCACUACCAAGUUUAUGCUAAUGAAUGUCGGUUGUCAGAAGCAUGAAACAAAACUUGUGAUCCAAAGGGGCAUAGCCCGACUUUCUAUCUUAUUUCGGUUUUAACAAGGUUUUUCCUUUGUUUA
Salvia miltiorrhiza (redroot sage) is the source of this 943-nucleotide long non-coding RNA. RefSeq lists it as uncharacterized. The record is from RefSeq and is a predicted model, not a curated record. Lineage: Eukaryota; Viridiplantae; Streptophyta; Magnoliopsida; Lamiales; Lamiaceae. The transcript has 2 exons.